This is a long non-coding RNA of Oncorhynchus tshawytscha (Chinook salmon), 3022 nucleotides long. The record is from Ensembl. NCBI's taxonomy places the organism in Eukaryota, Metazoa, Chordata, Actinopteri, Salmoniformes, Salmonidae.
GUGCCACAUGAAUUUGUCAUUUAGGAACACUGACUUUGGUUUUCUGUUUGAAAAUGUUUUUUUCAAGCUAGGCUUAGUCAUGGUUGACAAACCACUUUUUACAUUGGUUUGUCAACCAUUGGUCUCAGCCAUUGGUCCAGCUAGGCAGGGUAGUAAUACUGUGCUGUCUACGGGACAGCCCCUCGGAAACACAGACACACUCACUAUCAACACUCUACCACACACGCAACAGACAGACGAUUAAACUUGGAAUUAGCCUAAAUCUCUCGACCAAUGGCUGAGACUAAUGGUGUUACAUUAAAAUAGAUGACGAUCUCGGCCUCACCUGUCGUAAGUGAAUGAUGGUGAUGAAAUAAUCUGGACCCCGUUUACGAGACACUGUGGUAAACUUUACCACUCAGUACUCGUCACACAGCACCUGGAGUAACAUGGUCUAACUAAUAGAAGUAGAGAAACGACUGCAUGCUGUGUUAGCGGAAUCAGAAUUCUUUAGGUAACAUUGAUAAAUAAGAUGUUUUAUCAAUGUUCAUAAGUAUGCUUAUGUGGGAAAAGUUACUUGGGCCCCAGAGAGGGGAGAGGUCAGGCUUGUCUUCUUAUGGGAAUGUGUCUAACUAUUACUUGUCCCCUCAGGUUGCCUUUCUCUUGAUUUAGUAUAUGUCCUAGGAGGCUCACUGUCUCUGAGCUUGUCCAGGAGGGGUUGUAUUUUUGUUGGGAGUGUCUAGUAUUGAUAUAUGCCAUUGGAUGAGGUAAAGUUUUGGUUCUAAGUGGUACCAAGAAUGAGAAGAACUUAGUUUAGGAGACCAAACUGAAUAAUUUAUAGCCAAUGCUGUCUGGCUAUGUGUGUCUUUGCUAUAAAUGAUCUGUUGCCAUUAUGUAAGCACUCUCAGAAUUCAUUUAUGGACACAAUUGAUCUGAGUCACAGGGCUAUGGUGAAGCUCAUAUAAUUAAAGAUGGACUUUAUGAUAACUCUGACUUGUGUGUGGUUUGCUCUCUCAUGAUUUGGUAAUACAGGAAAUUUCCACGACAAUGCACAGCAGGAAAUGUGACACUUCUGACACAUUUUGCUAGAUACACCCAUACUCUGUGCAGCACCCAAACCAAGUGGCAAGAAUAUGCUUAUGAAGAUUCUUCCUAAAUUCAUGGGCAGCAUUCUGAGCAAUGUGAAACCAGAAGAACUAUGCACGUCUAUUGGUCGAACUUGAUGCUGUGAAUGGGGGUCACCAUGAAGAUGAUCCUAACAUUCUGCUCCCACACCAUCCUCCAGAAGUCAGCCAUGGUGCUGCGCAAAGGACCCUGGCUACAGAUUAAGUCUGGCUCUGUACAGCCCCCUGAAAAGCAGACCACUGACUUGAUGAAUGGAUAUAUGGACAGACAGAGUACUUACAGGGACAUAACUAGCGUUGAUAUAGCUUCACUCUACAGUGGUAAUCUGAAAUCACAGGGACUGUUAUUAAUCAACGUGAUCAGAAAGUGGGAAGCAUUACCGAACAUGGGAGAGAUGUGAAGGAUGUGUUCAUGUACUUAGAUACAGCAGGUUAUAUAAUCAUGGUAAUUACACUCCUAUUACUCAGGGGCAGCAUGUGGUGGUGCUAUGAUACUCUCAAGGCAGUAUGUAGGGGUAUCUGUUCUCUCUGUUAGCCUUCCAGGUCUCCAGCCCUGGUAGUGAGUUCUUUACCAUCAUCCAGCUCCUGAAGAAUAAACAGCUAAUGGGACACUAUGAAACAGCCACAGCAGACACUGCACAAAGACUCCAAAGCACAAUCAUCUACUGUAUGGUGUGGUCUCACAAGACUGAUGGCCUAGAUUAGUGAGUUUGGUUUACCUCAAACCGCCCUUGGCAGCGAGUGAUUGAAAGCACAGGUGGAAUUCCUGUAGUAUAUGUGCCCGUGAAAGCACCCUUAUUCGAUGUGGAAAUAUGGCAACAGUCUUCAGCCGAUUAAAACAUGUUUUGUUAAACAACUCUUUAAAUUGAGCUCCAAUUUUCCUCAAAGUGGUGUUUUUACAAGUGACUACACCCAUAAUGUUCUUAAUUCCAUCAUUCCAUGCUUCUGGGUUGGACUUGAGAAAACAAUAGGCUAAAACACUUCACUAACAGCACUCAGUUACUGUAUAUCAACUAAUGAAAGGUUACUUUUCUCUUCCAUAUUUUAGCAGAUGCUCUUAUCCAGAGCAAUUACGGUUAAGUGCCUUGCACAUCAACAUAUUUUUCACCUAGUUGGCCUCAGGGAUUCGAACCUUUCGGUUACUGGCCCAACGCUCUUAACCGCUCCGCUACCUGCCGCCCAUACCAUUUCACAAAGACUUAAGUUAUUAUAUCCACUCCUUCAGUGACUUUCAGGGUUCCUCACCUCAUGUUUGUUAGGGGUGCAGAGAUUAGGCAAAGCUUCCUUUGGUAACCAAGAACGGAAGUAUAGUGUAGAGGGAGCCAGGCUGGUGAGGUGGUGUUGGGUAGUUUUAAAAGAAAUGUGAUCAGAUGAUCACAAAGCCAAAUCCCCCACCCACCCCUGCUAGCUAAAGAGGAAUUUGGACACACAGUGGCUCUCACACACAAGGAUUCGAACACCAACCUGAGAACACUAUAAAAACCUGCAUCAACAGGUCAACAACAACUCAAAACACAGGUAAAGCACAGAGUGAGCAACCACAGCCUAGUGUUCCUUAUUAGUUAGUAUCACCUUUGUAAGUGCUCCUUUGAGUGAGAAAGAGUUUAGAGUGCAACGGGGGCUCUUCCCAUCGAUGUGUUAUGUCCUGUCAAGUUGUCAGUCUCCAAUUAUCCAAGCCACCACAUUUUAUUCUCUCUCAAUUCAAAGGGCUUUAUUGGCAUAGGAAACAUGUUUACAUUGCCAACGCAAGUGAAUAGAUAAUAAGCAAAAGUGAAAUAAACAAUCAAAAAUUAACUGUAAACAUUACACUCACAAAGGUUUCAGAGAAAUGGAGACAUUUCAAAUGUCAUUGUGGCUAUGUACAGUGUUAUAAUGAUAGUUAAAGUACAAAAGAGAAAAUAAUAAAACAUAAAGAUGGG